CGUAAAACACCAAAGCCCUUUCUUCCACUCUAUUUCACGUACAACAAACAAGUUCUCAGCCGUUUCUCUUUCUCCUUUCUUCACGACCACCGCGUCCAGCCCAGCCGCCGGACCACCAGUGUUCGUCGCCGCCGCAACACCGCGACCCAGGCCAGCCGACCACCGCACGCAGCCACCGACGAUCCCUAACGCCGCCACCUCGCCUAGCCGCGCCACCCUGUCCGCCGACCAGCACUCCCCUCUCCCUCUCGAAUUGGCAGAGAAUUCUCUUUAGGCGACUUUUGAAAGUGUUAAAGUGGCCUAUCAGUUUGUUUACACAAGUCUCUAAGGAUCAAUAAGCAUUGCCCAUCUACAGGUUUGAAGAUGAUGCAUCAUGGGGAUCGGGAUUAGAGAGCUUGUAUUUAGUUUUGUUUUGCUAAGUGACUUGGUUUGUUAAUUUGGACUUUAAACUUGUCGUACUAUUUAUAUUUCCUUAUUUUCGUUGAUUGGUUUUUGGGAUUAAACCUGUAAUCGAUUAUUUAUAAACCUAAAGUUAGUUUUA
Spinacia oleracea (spinach) is the source of this 541-nucleotide long non-coding RNA. RefSeq lists it as uncharacterized. The record is from RefSeq and is a predicted model, not a curated record. The transcript is spliced from 5 exons. Lineage: Eukaryota; Viridiplantae; Streptophyta; Magnoliopsida; Caryophyllales; Amaranthaceae.